GAUGAACGCUGGCGGCGUGCCUAAUACAUGCAAGUCGAGCGAACGGACGAGAAGCUUGCUUCUCUGAUGUUAGCGGCGGACGGGUGAGUAACACGUGGAUAACCUACCUAUAAGACUGGGAUAACUUCGGGAAACCGGAGCUAAUACCGGAUAAUAUUUUGAACCGCAUGGUUCAAAAGUGAAAGACGGUCUUGCUGUCACUUAUAGAUGGAUCCGCGCUGCAUUAGCUAGUUGGUAAGGUAACGGCUUACCAAGGCAACGAUGCGUAGCCGACCUGAGAGGGUGAUCGGCCACACUGGAACUGAGACGCGGUCCAGACUCCUACGGGAGGCAGCAGUAGGGAAUCUUCCGCAAUGGGCGAAAGCCUGACGGAGCAACGCCGCGUGAGUGAUGAAGGUCUUCGGAUCGUAAAACUCUGUUAUUAGGGAAGAACAUAUGUGUAAGUAACUGUGCACGUCUUGACGGUACCUAAUCAGAAAGCCACGGCUAACUACGUG
This 497-nucleotide ribosomal RNA is filed under the name uncultured bacterium. RNAcentral describes it as "partial 16S ribosomal RNA". It matches the Rfam family "Bacterial small subunit ribosomal RNA", at positions 28 to 507 of the family's 1533-position model. The record is from RNAcentral.